RNAcentral lists this RNase P RNA (414 nucleotides) under Pusillimonas sp. RNAcentral describes it as "RNase P RNA component class A". It matches the Rfam family "Bacterial RNase P class A". From Rfam's summary of the family: Ribonuclease P (RNase P) is a ubiquitous endoribonuclease, found in archaea, bacteria and eukarya as well as chloroplasts and mitochondria. Its best characterised activity is the generation of mature 5'-ends of tRNAs by cleaving the 5'-leader elements of precursor-tRNAs. Lineage: Bacteria; Pseudomonadati; Pseudomonadota; Betaproteobacteria; Burkholderiales; Alcaligenaceae. The record is from RNAcentral.
GGGGCAGAUCGGGCAAUCGCGGUAGUAAUUAUCGAGGAAGGUCCGGACUCCACAGGGCAGGAUAGCGGCUAACAGCCGUCCGGUAACGACCGCUGCUUUGGCAGCGGUAAAAGCCGAGGAACAGGGCCACAGAGACGAGUCUGUUAUGCGGGCGUGCCGUGGGUGCGCACUGGCACGGUGUCUCCGUGCGGCGUGUCUUGCUUUUGCAAGGCACAGCAUAGCAGGGUGAAACGCGGUAACCUCUAUCCGGAGCAACAUCAAAUAGGCAUGCAUUUGGUCUUAACGGCCAUACAGGCGGCCCGCCUGUGCAUGCGGGUAGGUGGCUAGAGCCGGUCAGCAAUGAACGGCCCAGAGGAAUGAUUGCCCAUCGAUAUUCUCGAUGUACAGAAUCCGGCCUACAGAUCUGUUCCGCAC